CAGCAGUAGCCACGGUAAUACGUAGGUGGCAAGCGUUGUCCGGAAUUAUUGGGCGUAAAGGGCUCGCAGGCGGUUUCUUAAGUCUGAUGUGAAAGCCCCCGGCUCAACCGGGGAGGGUCAUUGGGAACUGGGAAACUUGAGUGCAGAAGAGGAGAGUGGAAUUCCACGUGUAGCGGUGAAAUGCGUAGAGAUGUGGAGGAACACCAGUGGCGAAGGCGACUCUCUGGUCUGUAACUGACGCUGAGGAGCGAAAGCGUGGGGAGCGAACAGGAUUAGAUACCCGGGUAGUCCCUGUCUCUUAUAA
This 304-nucleotide ribosomal RNA is filed under the name uncultured bacterium. RNAcentral's name for it is "partial 16S ribosomal RNA". It matches the Rfam family "Bacterial small subunit ribosomal RNA", at positions 506 to 809 of the family's 1533-position model. The record is from RNAcentral.